UACCAGCUGGCUGCAACUGUUUAUUAAAAACACAGCACUGUGCAAACACGAAAGUGGACGUAUACGGUGUGACGCCUGCCCGGUGCCGGAAGGUUAAUUGAUGGGGUCAGCGCAAGCGAAGCUCCUGAUCGAAGCCCCGGUAAACGGCGGCCGUAACUAUAACGGUCCUAAGGUAGCGAAAUUCCUUGUCGGGUAAGUUCCGACCUGCACGAAUGGCGUAAUGAUGGCCAGGCUGUCUCCACCCGAGACUCAGUGAAAUUGAACUCGCUGUGAAGAUGCAGUGUACCCGCGGCAAGACGGAAAGACCCCGUGAACCUUUACUAUAGCUUGACACUGAACAUUGAGCCUUGAUGUGUAGGAUAGGUGGGAGGCUUUGAAGUGUGGACGCCAGUCUGCAUGGAGCCGGCCUUGAAAUACCACCCUUUAAUGUUUGAUGUUCUAACGUGGACCCGUGAUCCGGGUUGCGGACAGUGUCUGGUGGGUAGUUUGACUGGGGCGGUCUCCUCCUAAAGAGUAACGGAGGAGCACGAAGGUUGGCUAAUCCUGGUCGGACAUCAGGAGGUUAGUGCAAUGGCAUAAGCCAGCUUGACUGCGAGCGUGACGGCGCGAGCAGGUGCGAAAGCAGGUCAUAGUGAUCCGGUGGUUCUGAAUGGAAGGGCCAUCGCUCAACGGAUAAAAGGUACUCCGGGGAUAACAGGCUGAUACCGCCCAAGAGUUCAUAUCGACGGCGGUGUUUGGCACCUCGAUGUCGGCUCAUCACAUCCUGGGGCUGAAGUAGGUCCCAAGGGUAUGGCUGUUCGCCAUUUAAAGUGGUACGCGAGCUGGGUUUAGAACGUCGUGAGACAGUUCGGUCCCUAUCUGCCGUGGGCGCUGGAGAACUGAGGGGGGCUGCUCCUAGUACGAGAGGACCGGAGUGGACGCAUCACUGGUGUUCGGGUUGUCAUGCCAAUGGCACUGCCCGGUAGCUAAAUGCGGAAGAGAUAAGUGCUGAAAGCAUCUAAGCACGAAACUUGCCCCGAGAUGAGUUCUCCCUGAGACUUUAGGUCUCCUGAAGGAACGUUGAAGACGACGACGUUGAUAGGCCGGGUGUGUAAGCGCAGCGAUGCGUUGAGCUAACCGGUACUAAUGAACCGUGAGGCUUAACCUUACAACGCCGAAG
RNAcentral lists this ribosomal RNA (1159 nucleotides) under Salmonella enterica subsp. enterica serovar Chester. RNAcentral's name for it is "partial 23S ribosomal RNA". It matches the Rfam family "Bacterial large subunit ribosomal RNA", at positions 1783 to 2925 of the family's 2925-position model. RNAcentral also lists the same sequence under 1 other name. The record is from RNAcentral. Lineage: Bacteria; Pseudomonadati; Pseudomonadota; Gammaproteobacteria; Enterobacterales; Enterobacteriaceae.